CCUCUAUUAUGUGUGCAUUCAGAAUAAUCAAUACCAUUGCUAAUAUAUUAGGAUGUGGCACAAAUGCAGCUCUGCUGUUCUGCCGGAUAAUGUAUCCCAAAGGUGGAGGAGGAUAGGACAUUGUUAAAAGGCAUCCUAAGAACUUAACUAAAUGCGGCGAUCAAUACAAAGCUGUGCAAACCUACCCGGGAAAAAGCGGCGGAGGAAGUGGAGGAGAAGAGGGACGUGACCUAACUGUUUUAUUGGGGCUAGCUGUGUCUGAUUCCCCAUUUCCUCUCCAGCCCAGAUGCAAAGCAGAGGCAUGCACCGCUGAGGAUGAUGGGUAAUCAGCCCAGGUCUCUUGCUGCCUUCAUUUGGCCAGCUAGAAAAACGUCUGUGCCUUUGGUUUAAGGAGACCCACAUGGACAGUUAGCCGCGGCGUAUGCUCUGGGACUCCAGCUGCUCCCAUGGAUUUGCAUAUUUUCAGUUGGGUUUUAUGUUGUUCUUCUGUAUUUUUUUGUUCUUUUCUUUCACUAUGACAAAGUGAAUAAAAUGGCCUUCAGCCAGUUCAUCGGCC
Anguilla rostrata (American eel) is the source of this 556-nucleotide long non-coding RNA. RefSeq lists it as uncharacterized. The transcript has 2 exons. NCBI's taxonomy places the organism in Eukaryota, Metazoa, Chordata, Actinopteri, Anguilliformes, Anguillidae. The record is from RefSeq and is a predicted model, not a curated record.